This 665-nucleotide long non-coding RNA is filed under the name Sus scrofa (pig). Its description in RNAcentral is "lncRNA (ENSSSCG00070015819.1)". Lineage: Eukaryota; Metazoa; Chordata; Mammalia; Artiodactyla; Suidae. The record is from RNAcentral.
AAGGGGGCAGUCAUCCCAAUGGGCCUUGCAAGAAGUACGGGUUAAUAUGGUUACGGCAUUUUCUUCUAGGAACAAAUAUGAUCCCACAUUUAGCUCCACAGGAAGUCAACAAGCACAAGAAACAACAGGGCAAAGGUGUUCCAGAAAAGCGAGCCAGAGCACAUGAGCACCAGGGGCCCUUUCAAAAUAAAGGCAGACCGAGAGGAAGGUAGGCUGCUCCCCCAAGAGUCUGAUGUGGGACCUCAGUGGGAGUUCCAGGCUUGGACCAAAGGCUGUUCGUGACCUUUGUCCAACUGCUACAAGCUCUUAAAAAAAGACAGUCCAGAUUUGCUUCUUUCAUCCUGUAACAGGAAGCUCUUAAGCAGGGCAUGCGGCAAAGUCCCUGACCAUGUGUCUCCUGUCUCUGCAGGGCUCAGUGCAUGCAAAGGGAGGAUCACCCUCUGUCCAGCCAGAGGGGUGCGCCACCCCAGCUGCCAGUCUGCACGGCUGCCCAGACUCCAGAGGCCGUAGCUAUCGCUCUUGAGUGCUGCCUGGAUCGUGUUACUGGAGUCAAGUGUGAGAAACUCAUAAAAGAUGCAGCAGCUUCUGGGUGCAUGAAAGCCCCUGCUGUGACACCUUCUCGUGCUCCCCGAAGGGCAUCUUUUAUCCGGGCACCUGUACUCUGA